UCCCCAUUAAGAAAUGGCGAUGGAGGCGCAA
Molecule: non-coding RNA, 31 nt
Filed under: Mus musculus (house mouse)
Lineage: Eukaryota; Metazoa; Chordata; Mammalia; Rodentia; Muridae
Source: RNAcentral